UUUAAAAAUACAUUCUUGUUGAUUGUUAAUCUUAUUUUGUUGUCAUUAGUUGUUUUUAGUUAGGUCUGACUGUUUGUAACUCCAUUUGAGGUUUACUGGGCAAAGGUCCUGGAGUAGUUUGCCACUUUUUUUUUCCAGCUUGUUUUACAAAUGAGGAAACUGCAGCAAAUGGGAUUAAGUGAGUUGCCCAGGGCCAGGCACAGCUAGUAAGUAUCUGAGGCCAGAUUAGAAUCACAGAGAUGUUUCACCCUAUCCACUGUACCACCCACCUGCCCAAUCUUUAUAAGUAAAUAACAACAAAUUUGAUCACAACAGUUCAUUUCAUAACAAGUAUCAUGAUGAUUAUACCCAUUUUAUGGAUGAAGAAAUUGAAACAUCAGUUAAGUGAUAACAGUAACAACCAUAAUGGCUAGCAUUUCUGUGGGGCUUUAAGGUUUGCAAACCAUUUUACACAUAUUUCUCAUUUGUCACAACAACCCAUGAGGUAAGUGUUAUUAUUAUGCCCAACUUAUAGAUGAAGAAAUUGAGAUUCAGAGAUAUUAAGUGAUUUGCUUAGGUUCGCAAGCUAGUCAAGAGGUAAAAUUUAACCUUGGUCUCCUGAAUCCUAGUGACAAUGCUCUUUCUGCUAUGCUGGUUGAGAAGAAGGACUUUUUUUCCAGUGGUCUUUAUCAACUGCUUUUUGUUAUCUUCUCCCUUUGAGGAUGUAAGGAUCCUAAUUCAAACCUUCUCUUUGCAGUCUGCCCCAUUCAUUCGCCCAAAAAGCCUUCAGAGACAAAAUUCUGAGGACAAAUGAUUAGAGGAGAAGCCUUGAUUCUUGCAAAAUCAUGAGAGAAGAUGGAAAAAUGAUGGACAUGAGAAGCAGAGAGAUGAGCUGGACUAACAGGACCCUGGUGGGAGCCAGAGACAUGCAUGGAGAAGGCAUGAGUGGGAGCUACUUAAAGAAGGACAAAUUGCAGACCAGACUGGCAUAUGUAGAUGACCAGAGAAAGUUUGAGAGAGGAGGGUAGGAGGAAACAAGAAUGUCUUAAGGGCUUGCUCUAUGCCAGGCACUUCACAAAUAUCUCACUUGAUCCCCACAACCAGUCUGGGAGGUAAGUGCUAGUAUUAGCCCCAUUUUACAGGUGAGGAAAUUGAACAAAGGUCAAGUGACUUGCCUAGUUCAGGGUCUAAGGCUGGCGUUGAACUCAAUUUCCUAAGUCAAGACCUAGUGCUCUUACCCACUGGAUCUCCCAACUGCAUGAAGGAGAAGAUCCUAAUCAAAGCACCAGGAACAUCCAAGUAUAUCAUCUUGCUAAGAAGUAACUCUGGGGCCAUGUUUUUACUACCAAAGUCAUGAGUUUGGUGGGGGUUCUGGAAAGAGAUGGUACUCAUUCAGGAAUGAGGUUCAUAUAAUUUUAGAGAUUUGAAUAUACAUUUCUGUUCUUAGUGAAUGUUUACUCUUUUAUUGAUAUUCUAUUCCUUGCUCUUUGGGGUAUGAGAAAUCAAGACCUGAAUUAAAUCCAAAAGUUCCACAUUUGGAGAUGAGAUAGUAGGCAAAUGAGGCAGCAGAUGUAAGUUUUACCACCAAAAAAUCCCUCCUUUUAAACUCAAGGCUUUAAAGAUCCAUGUAACAGGUACCCUCUGAACUGCACAUGGGUCUCUCCUAAGGGAAGGCAAUGCUUUAAACAGGGUAUAAUAGCCCUAAAUCAAGUUAGACUGUAGAGUAAGGACACUUCAACACAUUAAUAGAGAGUGUUUUCAUAGGUAAUUUCCAAACCUAUGUUUUAGUAUGGAUAAAUUAAAAAAGAAAAAGAUCCUUCCUAUUUUAUUUCACUGUAUUUUAUUUCACCUACUUUGUGCAGCAAGUGUAUACAAAAUAGUGUGGGUUGUUUUUCUUUCUUAAACAUCCUAGAGCUUUGUAAAAGGAAGAAAAAUGAAUCAAAUUUGUUAAAAUUUGUUUCUAAAAAAAAUGAAAAGCGGGUAUUACGGUACUUAGCUUAGCUGACUUGUUUUAAUAAUGCUUUGUCUGACACUGAAUCCUGAGCUCAACAUCUGUUCUUAAUAAAAAUCUAUAAUCAGCAAUGCCCA
Molecule: long non-coding RNA, 2067 nt
Organism: Monodelphis domestica (gray short-tailed opossum)
Lineage: Eukaryota; Metazoa; Chordata; Mammalia; Didelphimorphia; Didelphidae
Source: Ensembl